RNAcentral lists this transfer-messenger RNA (351 nucleotides) under Nitrospirota bacterium. RNAcentral describes it as "Nitrospirae bacterium (groundwater metagenome) transfer-messenger RNA". It matches the Rfam family "transfer-messenger RNA". From Rfam's summary of the family: Bacterial tmRNA, also known as 10Sa RNA or SsrA, is named for its dual tRNA and mRNA-like properties. Its role is to liberate the mRNA from a stalled ribosome. RNAcentral also lists the same sequence under 1 other name. Lineage: Bacteria; Pseudomonadati; Nitrospirota. The record is from RNAcentral.
GGGGGCGACAGGCCUCGACGGGGGUUAUGAGGUCUACGCUGCAUGCCGUGGCUCUGUCACCACGUAAAAAGGCAGAACAAAAACACAAAAGCCAAUCACGAACUGGCACUUGCUGCUUAAUUAAGCGGCACGCUUCCCUGAGACUGUCUGCGGCUCAGAAGAGGCGUCAGAAAGCGGGCUUGUCUGAAGGUAUCCUCCCUUGACCUUUGGAUGAAACUUAAGAGGGGGCCGGAAUCAGUAAAGCCUGCCUGCCGGCAGACCUGAUUCUUAAACUUAAAUAAGCAGGAUACGCAUGUAGACGCUUAGAUGUAGUGCUUCCGGACCCGGGUUCAAAUCCCGGCGCCUCCACCA